This 1208-nucleotide ribosomal RNA is filed under the name metagenome. RNAcentral's name for it is "bacterial SSU rRNA". It matches the Rfam family "Bacterial small subunit ribosomal RNA", at positions 236 to 1457 of the family's 1533-position model. The record is from RNAcentral.
UCUGAUUAGCUAGUUGGUGGGGUAAAAGCCUACCAAGGCAGCGAUCAGUAGCUGGUCUGAGAGGAUGAGCAGCCACACUGGGACUGAGACACGGCCCAGACACCUACGGGAGGCAGCAGUGGGGAAUUUUCCGCAAUGGGCGAAAGCCUGACGGAGCAAUACCGCGUGAGGGAGGAAGGCCUUUGGGUUGUAAACCUCUUUUCUCAGGGAAGAAGAACUGACGGUACCUGAGGAAUAAGCAUCGGCUAACUCCGUGCCAGCAGCCGCGGUAAUACGGAGGAUGCAAGCGUUAUCCGGAAUCAUUGGGCGUAAAGCGUCCGCAGGUGGUUUUUCAAGUCUGCUGUUAAAGACUGGAGCUCAACUCCGGAAAGGCAGUGGAAACUGAGAAACUAGGGUUCGGUAGGGGUAGCGGGAAUUCCCAGUGUAGCGGUGAAAUGCGUAGAUAUUGGGAAGAACAUCGGUGGCGAAGGCGCGCUACUGGACCGAAACUGACACUCAGGGACGAAAGCUAGGGGAGCGAAAGGGAUUAGAUACCCCUGUAGUCCUAGCUGUAAACGAUGGAAACUAGGUGUGGCUUGUAUCGACCCGAGCCGUGCCGUAGCUAACGCGUUAAGUUUCCCGCCUGGGGAGUACGCACGCAAGUGUGAAACUCAAAGGAAUUGACGGGGGCCCGCACAAGCGGUGGAGUAUGUGGUUUAAUUCGAUGCAACGCGAAGAACCUUACCAGGGCUUGACAUGUCGCGAAUCUCCUUGAAAGGGGAGAGUGCCUUCGGGAGCGCGAACACAGGUGGUGCAUGGCUGUCGUCAGCUCGUGUCGUGAGAUGUUGGGUUAAGUCCCGCAACGAGCGCAACCCUCGUCUUUAGUUGCCAGCAUUAAGGUGGGCACUUUAGAGAGACUGCCGGUGACAAACCGGAGGAAGGUGGGGAUGACGUCAAGUCAGCAUGCCCCUUACGCCCUGGGCUACACACGUACUACAAUGGUUGGGACAAAGGGCAGCGACCCCGCGAGGGAAAGCGAAUCUCAUCAAACCCAGCCUCAGUUCAGAUUGCAGGCUGCAACUCGCCUGCAUGAAGGAGGAAUCGCUAGUAAUCGCAGGUCAGCAUACUGCGGUGAAUUCGUUCCCGGGCCUUGUACACACCGCCCGUCACACCAUGGAAGCUGGUCACGCCCGAAGUAGUUACCCUAACCUUUCGGGGGGGGGGACUCC